Long non-coding RNA from Cercocebus atys (sooty mangabey), 1911 nucleotides. RefSeq lists it as uncharacterized. The record is from RefSeq and is a predicted model, not a curated record. NCBI's taxonomy places the organism in Eukaryota, Metazoa, Chordata, Mammalia, Primates, Cercopithecidae. The transcript has 9 exons.
AAAAGUCAGCAGGUUGAAUUUUUUCCAAACUUCAGCUUGCAGCCUACAGCAUCUUGGAUCCUCAGCUACUUCAGCCGAAACUCAAGUUCUCCAAUUUGAAUAUUCAGCAGGAGAAGAAGGCUGACUGAAUACUUAGAUUUAACAACAAUGGUUAAACAUAUUCCUUUCUUAUGAUUCUGCUCCAUCUUUCUAAGAGUAAUUCAGUGUCAACAGCAACGGUGGUGGAGAGGAGUCACACUUUCCUCACCUUUAAUUGUAAAGUAAUUCAGAAAAAGAAAGAAAUUCUACUAGUCAUUAUGACCUCCAGGGAAAGGCAUGGAGGUUUGAGGCAUGAAGACUCUAAACAGCCAAAUUAUGUCUUGGGCACAGAUUCUAUUAUUCAGUGGUAACCCAUCAGCCUAGCUCUCUGUGAAAAGCAAUUGUAAAAGCAGAAAGAAGGACAUUCCAGAGAAGGAAAAUGUUCUAACUCAGAGAAGGGAGCAUUUCAGCUCAUUCUUGACGGAUAUGUGAAAUUCUGGAGUCUGGGAAGUCCAAGAUGAAGCUGCCUGCAGAUCCAGUGUCUGGUGUGGGUCCACUUUUUGGUUUGCAGAUGACAAUGACCACGUGGCAGAGAGCAGAGAGGGAGUGGCUCUCUUUCCCUUGUUAUGUGGACACUAAUCUCAUCAAAGGGGUUCCACCCUCACGAGCAAUUUACUUCUAAAAGAUCCCACUUCCCAGUGCUAUCACAUUAGAACUUCAGCAUAUAAAUGUGGAGGAAACACAGGCAUUCAUUCCAUAGUACACCCCUCCUGCUUGUGGAAACAAGGAGAUCUGUGUGAAAAGGGGCCCUUUCAUACUUCAUGCAAUUUACAAGACAGACUUCACUUGCAACUCCUGCUUGUGUAGGACCUCAAGGACAGCUGCAGAACCCACCCAGAGAUUGAGUCUUCUGAGAAUGACAUCAGAGAAAGACUGCCCUUGCCACCCACACUGCAACAAAACUUUGGGACCUUGGAUCUUGGGUUCAUAAUCUCGCAAUUCAGAAGGACUUCUCCAGACUCUUAGAUUUGAACCUUCAUUGGAGACCUUAAGAUGAUGUCAACUGAAAAGACUUGAAGACUGGAGAUGAAUCAAAGGCAGGAGUAUCUCCACGCCUGGGGAAAGAACUCAUCAUCUGAUGCCAUCUUCAUUCACAUGUUUAGCUGUUGACACUGCCUGUUGUCAGGACUCUCAGCUGGGGCUGUCCCAUGGAAACUUAUGUAUGGCCUCUCCAUGUAGCCUGAGUUGCCUCACAGCAUGAUGGCCUUGGACAUCUUACCUGGUGCUCAGGGCUCCAAAGGCAAGUAUUAAAAAAGAACAGGGGAAAGCUGUACCACCUAUUGUAACCUAGCUUCAGAAUCAGAUAGCAUCACUUCUACCAUACUCAGCGUCACCCAGCAACAAGGGGAGGAACAUAGAUAUCACUUCUUGAUAGGAGGGAUGUAUAAGUCACUGAGAUUAUGUGGGUAAAAGAUAUUGCUGCAGUCAUUUUUAGAAAAUUUAAUGUGUCAUGAUAUUUUUCUUGGAUUGUUUUUAUUGUUGCUUUUUAUGAAUUGGGUCCUUUCUUUCAUUUUAUAUCCUAAGUGUUUAUGAUUUAAUGAAUACUACUGAUUCCUGUAUAUUACAUCUGCUGAUGCAACACAUAUAACCUUAUUGAGUUCUGCCACCUCCCGUCUUUGUAUUUUAUUCUUUUGGGUAUCAGUUGUAUUAUGAGAAAUCAACAGAGAGUUUUACAUUUCCCACUCCAAUUUUGUUGAGUGUUCCACUCUUGCAUAAUUGUGUUGGCUGUGAGCCUCAGUAUAAUGUUAAAUGUAAUGGUGACUGUAGACAUCCUCACUUUUUUCCUGACUAGCAGAAAUGCCUGUGCUUUUACAUUAACUAAAGUAGUGCAAC